AAAUAUUUCAAUGAUAUAGAAAUUCCAUGUAAUGGCUAGAAAUUUGUGAGACUACAUAUAUGUAUAAAGACACACACGCGCACGCACAGAGAGACACACAGACACACACAGACACACACCGACUGAACCACAAACACACACACUCACACACACACACACACACACACACACACACUUUGUCCUUGAUGUACUUGGAGCAGAAUUUCUCGCUCCUUUGAGAAAAAAAAUAAGAUUUGAUAAAUUGUACGUUGCUUCCAAUGGAUAGCUGCAACUCCGUUUCGAUGAAGCAUUUCGCCCGGAGUACUAACCUUCAUGUCAGCUCGCCGCCUUAGAAGUGCGAAUAUUCUGUUCUACUCUAGGCACAAGGCCCGAAAUUUGUGGGGAGGUGGCCAGUCGAUUAGAUGGACCCGAGUACGCUACUGGUAUUUGAUUUAUCGAUUCCGAAAUGAUGAAAGACAAAGUCGACCUCGACAGAAUUUGAACUCAGAACGUAAAGGCAGACGAAAUAUCGAUACAAAGCCCGAAAUUUUGUGGGAAGGUUCCAGUCGAUUAGAUCGACUAAAGUACUUAAUUUAUCGACCCCUAAAGGAUGAAAUGCAAAGUCGACUUCGAUGGAAUUUAAACUCAGAACUACUCCAAGGCAUACAAAAGGAACAACAUUUGACUCAACGGUCUCCAACACAGGCUUCGUGUCAACGUUAGAAGUAUGCAUUUAGGGCAACAAGUCAACAGAAUCAUUAAAUCGCUCUGUAUUUAUUUAUUUAAGAAUAGAUAUGGUCUGAGUUGAAAUUUAACCCAAAGUUACAUUUGCCUUUCAUUUUUACGUUGUCGAUGACAUAGGGUAGCAGUCAAGUAUCGGCUCCGAUGUAAUCGAUUAACCAUAUUUCAAGCAUUGUAGAUGAGGGGAUUCUGAAGAGGCCUCUGGCUUUAAGUGUAUGGCGAAAAGGUUCGGUUGGAGACGCAAACUUCCGAGUUCUUUUACAAGGUUUGGAAAACUGAAACACCGCUGCAAUAAGUGUGUGGAUCUGAAAAGGAGAAAAUGUUGAAUAAAAUCAUAAUUAACUUAUCCUCCUAUAUUUUCUUUUACCCAAAGCCAGAGACUUUUCAUCACCUCUUUGUACAGGCUAGAAAUUUAGUGCGGUGGCACACAAUGAUUACAGAUAACUUCUUAUGCUGUCCUUAUGUUGUGGUUUCAAAUCCCGCAGAUUUUGACUUAAUAUUUCAUUGUAUGAAAGUCAGUAGAAUAAAGUACAAGUCACGUACUGAGGUCACUAAUUUAAACUUCCCCCCUCUUAUCAAAAUUGCCGUCCUUGUACGAAAAGC
Octopus bimaculoides (California two-spot octopus) is the source of this 1323-nucleotide long non-coding RNA. The record is from RefSeq and is a predicted model, not a curated record. Lineage: Eukaryota; Metazoa; Mollusca; Cephalopoda; Octopoda; Octopodidae.